UGACUGUAGGAAGCCAGAGAGACUGACAGAGAGGCAAGAGAUGGAGUCUCGCUCUGUCGUCCAGGCUGGAGUGCAGUGGCAUGAUCUUGGCUCACCGCAACCUCUGCCUCCCGGGUUCACGCCUUUCUUCUGCCUCAACCUCCCGAGUAGCUGGGACUGCAGGCACCCGCCACCACGGCUGGCUAAUUUUUUGUAUUUUUAGUAGAGACGGCGUUUCGCUGUGUUCGCCAGGAUGGUCUCAAUCUCCUGACCUCAUGAUCCGCCCGCCUCGGCCUCCCAAAGUGCUGGGAUUACAGGCGUGAGCCACCGCGCCCAGCUGAUGUGGUCCAAUUCUUAACCAAAGGAAUGGGUAGACCAGAAAUACGGUUUGCCACUGUCCUCUGGAGUGUGUUUUCUUUGACUUCGUGGAGUUGUUUCUUUAAGUAUGAACAAGUCAAAUAACCAGGUUAGAGGGAAAAAAAAUGGCACCCACCAUGGGAAUGUGGACGAGGUGAUGAAUUUAUUGAAAGUAGCAACAUUUACCUUACGGAAAAAAAUAAAUGCUUGGAAUAUUUCCUUCAUGUAAAUUUGGAUUGUGAUGAAAAAUUUACGUACGAAAUAGGGUGUAUUCUCUACUGCAUGAUGGCUG
Molecule: long non-coding RNA, 628 nt
Filed under: Homo sapiens (human)
Lineage: Eukaryota; Metazoa; Chordata; Mammalia; Primates; Hominidae
Description: HSALNT0026286
Source: RNAcentral